GCGGCGGACGGGUUAGUAACGCGUGGGAAUAUGCCCAAAGGUACGGAAUAGCCUCUGGAAACGGAGAGUAAUACCGUAUGUGCCCUUCGGGGGAAAGACUUAUCGCCUUUGGAUUAGCCCGCGUUAGAUUAGGUAGUUGGUGGGGUAAUGGCCUACCAAGCCUACGAUCUAUAGCUGGUUUUAGAGGAUGAUCAGCAACACUGGGACUGAGACACGGCCCAGACUCCUACGGGAGGCAGCAGUGGGGAAUCUUGGACAAUGGGGGCAACCCUGAUCCAGCCAUGCCGCGUGAGUGAUGAAGGCCUUAGGGUCGUAAAGCUCUUUCGCCUGUGAAGAUAAUGACGGUAGCAGGUAAAGAAACCCCGGCUAACUCCGUGCCAGCAGCCGCGGUAAUACGGAGGGGGUUAGCGUUGUUCGGAAUUACUGGGCGUAAAGCGCACGUAGGCGGAUCGGAAAGUUGGGGGUGAAAUCCCGGGGCUCAACCCCGGAACUGCCUCCAAAACUAUCGGUCUAGAGUUCGAGAGAGGUGAGUGGAAUUCCGAGUGUAGAGGUGAAAUUCGUAGAUAUUCGGAGGAACACCAGUGGCGAAGGCGGCUCACUGGCUCGAUACUGACGCUGAGGUGCGAAAGUGUGGGGAGCAAACAGGAUUAGAUACCCUGGUAGUCCACACCGUAAACGAUGAAUGCCAGUCGUCGGGUAGCAUGCUAUUCGGUGACACACCUAACGAAUUAAGCAUUCCGCCUGGGGAGUACGGUCGCAAGAUUAAAACUCAAAGGAAUUGACGGGGGCC
This 790-nucleotide ribosomal RNA is filed under the name uncultured bacterium. RNAcentral's name for it is "bacterial SSU rRNA". It matches the Rfam family "Bacterial small subunit ribosomal RNA", at positions 95 to 921 of the family's 1533-position model. The record is from RNAcentral.